Molecule: long non-coding RNA, 700 nt
Organism: Osmerus eperlanus (European smelt)
Lineage: Eukaryota; Metazoa; Chordata; Actinopteri; Osmeriformes; Osmeridae
Exons: 3
Source: RefSeq, a predicted model, not a curated record
ACAAGAGUUAUGGAUGUGAUACAUGGUUUUCGAUGAAAUACUUACCUUGGUUAGAUAGUUUGGACCUUUGGGAAUGUAACCAGACAAUUUCUGUUUGGAUAUUUUGCAUAACUGGACAACGAGCCUUGUUAGGGCCCCGCGUCAAGUGAACAUGCUGCUGAAUCACGCCCAGGCACAGAAUAGACUUGCAAUUUGAUUGGCACAUGAAUCACACUCUAACUGGGAUUGGAUGGGAGGGAAAGAGAUGAUGUGAGUUAUACGAGCCAUUGGUCCAUUGGCCGUGGGCGAGAUCCCUAUGGGAGGGGCAAUGCCGGACCAUGGAGCAGAUGUUUUGCUGGGAUUGGGCAGUCAGGUUCACGCCAAGGGUUCAGGCAGGUUCCCAGUCCCACACAGAGUAAAUAUCUCUCCUUAAAUCACUGAGUGUUCCUGAUGGAAGCAUUCCUUGAUUGGCUGCUUCAUUUUAAGGCCCUAUAGGAAAUGCACUGUAGUUUCUAUGGUAGACUCUGGACUGUAAGUGUGUAGAAAGAUGACAUAGAACCAGUCCAGUCCGUCCAAUCCAGCCCAGUUCCUGUAAGAAAUAUAUUGAACAUCAUCUUCCUUACUACAGGCUGCAUAUGUACACAUGACUGUGUGUAGGAGGAGGUGGGCUUGCAGCCUAACAUUCAAGAGGAGCAGUAGACCAGUAUAGACUGUAUAACUA